Molecule: ribosomal RNA, 322 nt
Filed under: uncultured eukaryote
Lineage: Eukaryota
Description: partial 18S ribosomal RNA
Rfam family: Eukaryotic small subunit ribosomal RNA
Source: RNAcentral
CCCUUAGAUGUUCUGGGCCGCACGCGUGCUACACUGAGUGGAUCAGCGGGUCAGGUUGCGCGAAAGCGUUUCCUAAUCUUGAAAUCCGCUCGUGAUGGGGAUUGACGGUUGCAAUUUUCUGUCAUGAACGAGGAAUACCUUGUAAGCGCGAGUCAUCAUCCCGCGCUGAAUACGUCCCUGCCCUUUGUACACACCGCUCGUCGCUCCUACCGAUUGAGUGGUCCGGUGAGGCUUUGGGAUCUGAGCGGAAAGAGCGUUUCGCUCGUUCUGCCCGGAAAACUCAGUCGAACCUUAUCAUUUAGAGGAAGGAGAAGUCGUAACA